RNAcentral lists this ribosomal RNA (724 nucleotides) under uncultured bacterium. RNAcentral's name for it is "bacterial SSU rRNA". It matches the Rfam family "Bacterial small subunit ribosomal RNA", at positions 52 to 747 of the family's 1533-position model. The record is from RNAcentral.
GACGCGUUGGCCCAUUGAUUGACGGUGCUUGCACCUGAUUGAUUUCCGUUAAAACGAGUGGCGGACGGGUGAGUAACACGUAGGUAACCUGUCAAGAAGCGGGGGACAACAUUUGGAAACAGAUGCUAAUACCGCAUAACAACGUUGUUCGCAUGAACAACGCUUAAAAGAUGGCUUCUCGCUAUCACUUCUGGAUGGACCUGCGGUGCAUUAGCUUGUUGGUGGGGUAACGGCCUACCAAGGCGAUGAUGCAUAGCCGAGUUGAGAGACUGAUCGGCCACAAUGGGACUGAGACACGGCCCAUACUCCUACGGGAGGCAGCAGUAGGGAAUCUUCCACAAUGGGCGCAAGCCUGAUGGAGCAACACCGCGUGAGUGAAGAAGGGUUUCGGCUCGUAAAGCCCUGUUGUUAAAGAAGAACACGUAUGAGAGUAACUGUUCAUACGUUGACGGUAUUUAACCAGAAAGUCACGGCUAACUACGUGCCAGCAGCCGCGGUAAUACGUAGGUGGCAAGCGUUAUCCGGAUUUAUUGGGCGUAAAGAGAGUGCAGGCGGUUUUCUAAGUCUGAUGUGAAAGCCUUCGGCUUAACCGGAGAAGUGCAUCGGAAACUGGAUAACUUGAGUGCAGAAGAGGGUAGUGGAACUCCAUGUGUAGCGGUGGAAUGCGUAGAUAUAUGGAAGAACACCAGUGGCGAAGGCGGCUACCUGGUCUGCAACUGACGCU